This 492-nucleotide ribosomal RNA is filed under the name uncultured bacterium. RNAcentral describes it as "partial 16S ribosomal RNA". It matches the Rfam family "Bacterial small subunit ribosomal RNA", at positions 29 to 507 of the family's 1533-position model. The record is from RNAcentral.
AGUGAACGCUGGCGAUAGGCCUAACACAUGCAAGUCGAACGGCAGCACAGUAAGAGCUUGCUCUUACGGGUGGCGAGUGGCGGACGGGUGAGGAAUACAUCGGAAUCUACUUUUUCGUGGGGGAUAACGUAGGGAAACUUACGCUAAUACCGCAUACGACCUACGGGUGAAAGCAGGGGAUCUUCGGACCUUUCGCGAUUGAAUGAGCCGAUGUCGGAUUAGCAAGUUGGCGGGGUAAAGGCCCACCAAGGCGACGAUCCGUAGCUGGUCUGAGAGGAUGAUCAGCCACACUGGAACUGAGACACGGUCCAGACUCCUACGGGAGGCAGCAGUGGGGAAUAUUGGACAAUGGGCGCAAGCCUGAUCCAGCCAUACCGCGUGGGUGAAGAAGGCCUUCGGGUUGUAAAGCCCUUUUGUUGGGAAAGAAAAGCAGCAGGUUAAUACCCCGCUGUUCUGACGGUACCCAAAGAAUAAGCACCGGCUAACUUCGUG